This 79-nucleotide transfer RNA is filed under the name Thermoprotei archaeon. RNAcentral's name for it is "tRNA-Asn". It matches the Rfam family "tRNA". Rfam says of the family: Transfer RNA (tRNA) molecules are approximately 80 nucleotides in length. Their secondary structure includes four short double-helical elements and three loops (D, anti-codon, and T loops). Further hydrogen bonds mediate the characteristic L-shaped molecular structure. tRNAs have two regions of fundamental functional importance: the anti-codon, which is responsible for specific mRNA codon recognition, and the 3' end, to which the tRNAs corresponding amino acid is attached (by aminoacyl-tRNA synthetases). tRNAs cope with the degeneracy of the genetic code in two manners: having more than one tRNA (with a specific anti-codon) for a particular amino acid; and 'wobble' base-pairing, i.e. permitting non-standard base-pairing at the 3rd anti-codon position. Lineage: Archaea; Thermoproteati; Thermoproteota; Thermoprotei. The record is from RNAcentral.
GUUGAGAUGGUAGCACUUGUAACAUCGAUGUGGGCUGUUAACCCGAAGGUCCCGGGUUCAAAUCCCGGCCUCAGCACCA